RNAcentral lists this ribosomal RNA (498 nucleotides) under uncultured bacterium. Its description in RNAcentral is "partial 16S ribosomal RNA". It matches the Rfam family "Bacterial small subunit ribosomal RNA", at positions 30 to 523 of the family's 1533-position model. The record is from RNAcentral.
AUUGAACGCUGGCGGCAUGCCUUACACAUGCAAGUCGAACGGUAACAGGUCUUCGGAUGCUGACGAGUGGCGAACGGGUGAGUAAUACAUCGGAACGUGCCUAGUAGUGGGGGAUAACUACUCGAAAGAGUGGCUAAUACCGCAUGAGAUCUACGGAUGAAAGCAGGGGAUCGCAAGACCUUGUGCUACUAGAGCGGCCGAUGGCAGAUUAGGUAGUUGGUGGGAUAAAAGCUUACCAAGCCGACGAUCUGUAGCUGGUCUGAGAGGACGAUCAGCCACACUGGGACUGAGACACGGCCCAGACUCCUACGAGAGGCAGCAGGGGGGAAUUUUGGACAGUGGGCGAAAGCAUGAUCCAGAAAUGCCGCGUGCAGGAUGAAGGCCUUCGGGUUGUAAACUGCUUUUGUACGGAACGAAAAGCCCCGGGUUAAUACCCUGGGGUCAUGACGGUACCGUAAGAAUAAGCACCGGCUAACUACGUGCCAGCCGCCGCCGUAA